CCUACGGGAGGCAGCAGUGAGGAAUAUUGGUCAAUGGCCGGAAGCCUGAACCAGCCAAGCAGCGUGAGGGAGGAAGGCCCAGCGGGUCGCAGACUUCUUUUGCCGGGGGACAAAGUGCCGCACGUGUGCGGUUCUGUGUGUACCCUGUGAAUAAGCAUCGGCUAACUCCGUGCCAGCAGCCGCGGUAAUACGGAGGAUCCGAGCGUUAUCCGGAUUUAUUGGGUUUAAAGGGUGCGUAGGCGGGGUGUUAAGGCAGUUGGGAAAGUUCGGGGCUCAACCGUCGACUUGCAUUUGAAACUGGCGGCCUUGAGUGCAGCUGAGGCAGGCGGAAUGCGUGGUGUAGCGGUGAAAUGCAUAGAUAUCACGAAGAACCCCGAUUGCGAAGGCAGCGUGC
RNAcentral lists this ribosomal RNA (394 nucleotides) under uncultured bacterium. RNAcentral describes it as "partial 16S ribosomal RNA". It matches the Rfam family "Bacterial small subunit ribosomal RNA", at positions 338 to 729 of the family's 1533-position model. The record is from RNAcentral.